RNAcentral lists this long non-coding RNA (1267 nucleotides) under Homo sapiens (human). RNAcentral's name for it is "HSALNT0293300". The record is from RNAcentral. Lineage: Eukaryota; Metazoa; Chordata; Mammalia; Primates; Hominidae.
AGGGCUGAAAUCGAGAACACAGAGAACAAGGGAAGGAAGAAGACCAAGAAAGCCUUCUCCAAAGAAGUGGCAUUUAAGCUAAUAGCCAAAGGAAGACAAGGACCUGGCCAUGCAAAAAGAGGAAGGGUGUUCACGGCAGAGAAAACAGCAAGUAAAAAAGCUCUGAGAAAGUCCCCCACUGCCAACUGAGAUGGAGUCCAGUCCUCCCUGCCCAAAGACAAAAAGACAAAGGAUGACAGCUUGCACUGGAGCAGUCAAGCUGGGGAGAAGCAGAGGAAGACAUCUGUCUACCUGUGGAAUCAAGGGUCACUGUCAGUUCCAGAGCGUUCAACCCAGACCUACCAUCCUCUUGGCCUCAGUGACUGGCUCACUUGAGCCAAUCAGACCAACCAGCGACAAUAUUGGGCAUUUUGUUUGAAUGAUUUGGAAGAGGUCCUCCCUCUUUCUCAUUGUGCUUGAUGCCACGAGGAUGCAGAGGGUGGAGCAAUAGCAGUCAUUUUGGCCCCAUGAGGGAGAGACUGAAGCUGCCAGGGGAUACCACAGGGGCCUGAAAUGAAGCCAAGACUGAGAGAAGAGAAAUCAUAUCCUGAUGACAGCAUGAGAACUUGGGAUCCAGCCAUUCUUGAAGCCAAGGUCUAGCGCUAGACUUUUCAAUUAUAAGAACCAAUAAGUUUCUCCUUUUUUUUUUUCCUUAAGCCAGCUGGAAUUAGGGUUUUUUGUUUGGUUUUUGUUUUAGUCAUUUGCAACUGGUAGAGUCUUAACUGAUAAACAAGACCCUGACAGCCUAAUGAUGACAUAAGAAAUACGCAGAAAUUCAACUGCUCAACUGCCCUUCUCAGUCAUAUGCCAAGUGUGUCCCCUUUCUUCAUAUUUCUAAUUCCUUGUUCAUAGGGCUUCAGUAACCCUGUUAAAGGGUGCAAUUCAAUCAAUGCACUUCUGAUAUAUCAAAUAAUAAUGCCUUUUAUAUGUAUCAUCUACAAAAUUCAUUUUAUGUAUAUUUUUUAAAUCCAAACAAACAACACUAAAGGAGAUAGUAGUCACAGUUUAAUGACUAAGAACUAACUAAAAUGUUUUAAAGUUUACUUGGCACUAAGACCUCAUAGCUAGAAAGCGGUAAGGAACAGGUCUUCAUUAUUCUUAUCUUUAUGUCUGUUAUUCUUUUCAUCAUACCACAAAUAUUGUUAUCUUCAAAAGUAUAAUUGGCUGUAUGUAUAAACAAGACAUAAACAUUAAGCAGAUUAAGAGAUAUAAGACUUUUUUAAAUAGU